This 140-nucleotide small nuclear RNA is filed under the name Gopherus agassizii (Agassiz's desert tortoise). Its description in RNAcentral is "U4 spliceosomal RNA (ENSGAGG00000025537.1)". It matches the Rfam family "U4 spliceosomal RNA". From Rfam's summary of the family: U4 small nuclear RNA (U4 snRNA) is a component of the major U2-dependent spliceosome. The record is from RNAcentral. Lineage: Eukaryota; Metazoa; Chordata; Testudines; Testudinidae.
UACUUUGCGCAGUGGCAGUAUCGUAGCCAAUGAGGUUAAUCCGAGGCGCGAUUAUUGCUAAUUGAAAAAUUCUUUUGCAACAUCAACACUGAUGGCCAGAUCAUGACUGGCCAUUUUACAAGUGCACAGCAGAGAAGGCA